Molecule: ribosomal RNA, 253 nt
Filed under: uncultured bacterium
Lineage: Bacteria
Description: partial 16S ribosomal RNA
Rfam family: Bacterial small subunit ribosomal RNA
Source: RNAcentral
UACGGGGGGGGCAAGCGUUGUUCGGAAUUACUGGGCGUAAAGGGCUCGUAGGUGGCCAACUAAGUCAGACGUGAAAUCCCUCGGCUUAACCGGGGAACUGCGUCUGAUACUGGAUGGCUUGAGAUUGGGAGAGGGAUGCGGAAUUCCAGGUGUAGCGGUGAAAUUCGUAGAUAUUCGCAAGAACACCAGUGGCGAAGGCGGCUCACUGGCCCGGUACUGACGCUGAGGUGCGAAAGCGUGGGGAGCAAACAGG